This 487-nucleotide ribosomal RNA is filed under the name uncultured bacterium. Its description in RNAcentral is "bacterial SSU rRNA". It matches the Rfam family "Bacterial small subunit ribosomal RNA", at positions 791 to 1277 of the family's 1533-position model. The record is from RNAcentral.
UAGUCCACGCCGUAAACGAUCACCACUCGCUGUUGGCGAUAUACUGUCAGCGGCCAAGCGAAAGUAUUAAGUGAUGCACCUGGGGAGUACGCCGGCAACGGUGAAACUCAAAGGAAUUGACGGGGGGCCCGCACAAGCGGUGGAGCAUGUGGUUUAAUUCGAUGAUACGCGAGGAACCUUACCAGGGCUUAAAUGUAGUAUGACCGGUCUGGAAACAGGCCUUCCCUUCGGGGCAGAUUACAAGGUGCUGCAUGGUUGUCGUCAGCUCGUGCCGUGAGGUGUUAGGUUAAGUCCUAUAACGAGCGCAACCCCUGUUGUUAGUUGCCAGCGAGUAAUGUCGGGAACUCUAGCAAGACUGCCAGUGCAAACUGUGAGGAAGGUGGGGAUGACGUCAAAUCAUCACGGGCCCUUACGUCCUGGGGCUACACACGUGCUACAAUGGUAGGGUACAGAGAGCAGCCAAUGCGCGAGCAUGAGCAAAAUCUAU